This 433-nucleotide ribosomal RNA is filed under the name uncultured bacterium. Its description in RNAcentral is "partial 16S ribosomal RNA". It matches the Rfam family "Bacterial small subunit ribosomal RNA", at positions 29 to 507 of the family's 1533-position model. The record is from RNAcentral.
AACGAACGCUGGCGGCAUGCCUAACACAUGCAAGUCGAACGAGACCUUCGGGUCUAGCGGCGCACGGGUGCGUAACGCGUGGGAACCUGCCCUUAGGUUCGGAAUAACUCCCCGAAAGGGGUGCUAAUACCGGAUAAUGUCUUCGGACCAAAGAUUUAUCGCCUUUGGAUGGGCCCGCGUUGGAUUAGCUAGUUGGUAGGGUAAAAGCCUACCAAGGCGACGAUCCAUAGCUGGUCUGAGAGGAUGAUCAGCCACACUGGGACUGAGACACGGCCCAGACUCCUACGGGAGGCAGCAGUGGGGAAUAUUGGACAAUGGGCGAAAGCCUGAUCCAGCAAUGCCGCGUGAGUGAUGAAGGCCUUAGGGUUGUAAAGCUCUUUUACCCGGGAUGAUAAUGACAGUACCGGGAAAAUAAGCUCCGGCUAACUCCGUG